AGAAAGGAAAAUCAUGUACAGUAAUGGCUGUAGACACAGAGUUCUCCUACUUAAGAUCAGGGAGAGAUGAGAAGAGAAGCAGUUUUGCUGGAAAAGGGUCUGAGACACACACAGAUUGGUUGAUCUUUGUAAUUAAGAACCAGAGGACAGCUUGCUACAUUGAUGCUUAGUCCCUGGGACAAAAGUAGGACAGCAGAAUAGAUCAGAAAUUCUCCACACUAGGUGAAUCUUCUCACUUCAGAAACCGAAGACCUUCUCCGGGUGUUUUAUGGAACAACAACACAAAAAGAAUGGGACGACUUAUGCAAUGAAGAGGAAGAUAAGCCCACAUGUAAAACAAACAGCACUGAAUAUUCAGAUACAGAUACAUAGAGAGGACAAUACGAGGAACAUCUCUAAAUGCAUCAGUGGAACAGACUAAGUCCUCACACAAUUUCUGUACUAGUAUAACAAUCCAAGCACAGGGCUUCAGAAAUGUAGAGCAUUGCUACAGGAGUUUUAUAGCUGCACAGGCAAAGCACGUGCAAGACUAUCUAAUGGAUUCUGAGUUUCUGUUGUUGUUUUUAUGUAUACACCUGUAGAAAUCACUAAAAUGUAUGUAUUUGUUUUCAGGUUCAAAUAAAUAAAUGCUACAGAC
This 637-nucleotide long non-coding RNA is filed under the name Gallus gallus (chicken). Its description in RNAcentral is "lncRNA (ENSGALG00010024072.1)". Lineage: Eukaryota; Metazoa; Chordata; Aves; Galliformes; Phasianidae. The record is from RNAcentral.